This 760-nucleotide long non-coding RNA is filed under the name Marmota monax (woodchuck). Lineage: Eukaryota; Metazoa; Chordata; Mammalia; Rodentia; Sciuridae. The record is from RNAcentral.
UCAAUCACUUCCUCUACUUUUUCUUUGCUUCUCUUCCUCUUCUGUUUUUCUCUGUGUGGGCUUCAUUUUCCGUCAAACUCUCCCCAUAUGAAAGCAAAGAUGAGCACUAAACAGUCCAGGCUUAUAUUAUUCUCACAGUUAGCAAUUUCAGUGAAAAGGGGCAACUGUUCCUGUACCAGCAUUUGCGACCAUCUUAGAUUAUGUUGUUUGGUCCCUCCUGGACCAGUUGUGUGUCUAAAGAAUUUAGGUAGUCUGAUUGUGUGGUGAGCCAUGUUUGUAGACCGUUGCCACCAUUAGAAGAUGGCGUCGGUCUCCGUUGUGGAUCUUGGUAAACAACUCCUUAUUAGGAAGAGUUGGUGCGCUGUCCCUCAAUACCCUAUGAGAAAACCCCGCGUGGCAGCUUUGGAUUGGACUUGAGUAAGCUUUAUUAGGCUGUGUGUGGGUGCACGGAAGCAAGCGCGCUUGAGAGAAGACUAGAAUUAAGGCCUGAAUAAACCGCUGAAAGAAGAAUCCUGUGUCGUGUCUUCCUUGCUGGCGAGGGGGUCGCGACAAUUGGUGGCCCGUACGGGGAACCGAAUACCUCUCAAUCUCAGGAUCCAGAACUUUCAGCGGUCAGGGUGGUGCACCGGUAAGUUCCCAGGUAAGUGGGAAUCCACAGAAAAUUAGCGGGUCGCUCCUCUGUAAAAAGAGAGAGCGGGGAUUUUUUUUUUUUUUUGGACUUUCGCUUUAUUUCUUUGCUUUCGCUUUCUGCAUUAACGCA